Molecule: ribosomal RNA, 440 nt
Filed under: uncultured bacterium
Lineage: Bacteria
Description: partial 16S ribosomal RNA
Rfam family: Bacterial small subunit ribosomal RNA
Source: RNAcentral
CCUACGGGAGGCAGCAGUGGGGAAUAUUGGACAAUGGGGGAAACCCUGAUGCAGCGACGCCGCGUGAGUGAAGAAGUAUUUCGUUAUGUAAAGCUCUAUGAGCGGGGAAGAAAAUGACGGUAUCUGAGUAAGAAACGCCGGCUAAAUACGUGCCCGCAGCCGCGGGAAUACGUGGGGGGGAAGCGUUAUCCGGAUUUACUGGGUGUAAAGGGAGCGUAGACGGGAGGGCAAGUCUGAAGUGAAAGGCGGGGGCUCAACCCCCGGACUGCUCUUGAAACUGUACGGCUGGAGUGCAGGAGAGGUAAGUGGAAUUCCUAGUGUAGCGGUGAAAUGCGUAGAUAUUAGGAGGAACACCAGUGGCGAAGGCGGCUUACUGGACUGUAACUGACGUUGAGGCUCGAAAGCGUGGGGAGCAAACAGGAUUAGAUACCCUUGUAGUC